This 27-nucleotide non-coding RNA is filed under the name Dasypus novemcinctus (nine-banded armadillo). Its record names the gene dno-miR-342-5p. Lineage: Eukaryota; Metazoa; Chordata; Mammalia; Cingulata; Dasypodidae. RNAcentral also lists the same sequence under 6 other names. The record is from miRBase by way of RNAcentral.
AGGGGUGCUAUCUGUGAUUGAGGGACA